GUGGGGAAUCUUAGACAAUGGGGGCAACCCUGAUCUAGCCAUGCCGCGUGAGUGAUGAAGGCCUUAGGGUCGUAAAGCUCUUUCGCCGGGGAAGAUAAUGACUGUACCCGGUAAAGAAACCCCGGCUAACUCCGUGCCAGCAGCCGCGGUAAUACGGAGGGGGUUAGCGUUGUUCGGAAUUCCUGGGCGUAAAGCGCGCGUAGGCGGAGCGGAGAGUUGGGGGUGAAAUCCCGGGGCUCAACCCCGGAAUUGCCUUCAAAACUCCCGGUCUUGAGGUCGAGAGAGGUGAGUGGAAUUCCGAGUGUAGAGGUGAAAUUCGUAGAUAUUCGGAGGAACACCAGUGGCGAAGGCGGCUCACUGGCUCGAUACUGACGCUGAGGUGCGAAAGCGUGGGGAGCAAACAGGAUUAGAAACCCGGGUAGUCC
This 425-nucleotide ribosomal RNA is filed under the name uncultured bacterium. RNAcentral describes it as "partial 16S ribosomal RNA". It matches the Rfam family "Bacterial small subunit ribosomal RNA", at positions 354 to 796 of the family's 1533-position model. The record is from RNAcentral.